RNAcentral lists this ribosomal RNA (332 nucleotides) under uncultured bacterium. RNAcentral's name for it is "bacterial SSU rRNA". It matches the Rfam family "Bacterial small subunit ribosomal RNA", at positions 568 to 898 of the family's 1533-position model. The record is from RNAcentral.
CGUGUAGGCGGCUUCUUAAGUCUGAUGUGAAAGCCCGGGGCUUACCCCCGGAAGUGCAUUGGAGACUGGGAGGCUCGAGUACCGGAGAGGAGGGUGGAAUUCCUGGUGUAGCGGUGAAAUGCGUAGAUAUCAGGAGGAACACCGGUGGCGAAGGCGGCCCUCUGGACGGAUACUGACGCUGAGACGCGAAAGCGUGGGGAGCAAACAGGAUUAGAUACCCUGGUAGUCCACGCUGUAAACGAUGGGCACUAGGUGUUCGGGGUAUUGACCCCCUGAGUGCCGCAGCUAACGCAUUAAGUGCCCCGCCUGGGGACUACGGCCGCAAGGUUAAA